This 482-nucleotide ribosomal RNA is filed under the name uncultured bacterium. Its description in RNAcentral is "partial 16S ribosomal RNA". It matches the Rfam family "Bacterial small subunit ribosomal RNA", at positions 30 to 507 of the family's 1533-position model. The record is from RNAcentral.
AUUGAACGCUGGCGGCAUGCCUUACACAUGCAAGUCGAACGGUAACAGGUCUUCGGAUGCUGACGAUUGGCUAACGGGUGAGUAAUACAUCGGAACGUGCCCGAUCCUGGGGGUUAACGAAGCUAAAGCUUUCCUAAUCCCGCAUCCGAUCUACGCAUGAACUCCGUGGACCGCAAGGCCUUGCGCCAACGGAUCGGCCGAUGGCAGAUUAGUUUGUUGGUGGGAUAAAAGCUUACCAAGCCGACGAGCUGUAGCUGGUCUGAGAGGACGACAAGCCACAUUGGGACUGAGACAGGGACCAGAGUACUAAGGGAGGCAGCAGAGGGGAAUGGUGGACAAUGGGGGAAAGCAUGAUACAGCCAGGCGGAGUGCAGGAUGAAGGCGUUGGGGGUGUAAACUGCGUUUGUAGGGAACGAAAAGACUCUGGUUAAGACCUGGGGUGCAUGACGGUAACGUAAGAAGAAGCACCGGCUAACUACGUG